UUUUUCUUGAUAGAAGCUGCAAUUCAUAUAAGCCGUGUAAAUGGGGGCAGUGCUGCGUAAGAAAGGACAAAAAAACAACUUGUCGUCCUUCUGCGCGUUAUGGAGGACGCUGCACGAACACUUCUUCCCGUGGAAUUUAUCAGAAGCACUGCGAUUGUUUCUUAAACCAAGGAACGUGUGUUAAUAAUAGAUGCAUGUAGCCAAGCGUCUUUCUACAAUAUUCGCCCAUUAAAUUUAUCCAAAAGUCAGGCGCACAACUGUUUAAUCGAGAAGUGGUGAGCAUCGCCACUGACUAUGUAACUCAAGAGGCUGUUAGGGUCCGCUUAUAAAAACAGGGCGUGAAAACAUGGACACAGGAGCGUAGUAAAGACACCAGAAACGCCG
Rhipicephalus sanguineus (brown dog tick) is the source of this 384-nucleotide long non-coding RNA. RefSeq lists it as uncharacterized. Lineage: Eukaryota; Metazoa; Arthropoda; Arachnida; Ixodida; Ixodidae. The record is from RefSeq and is a predicted model, not a curated record. The transcript is spliced from 4 exons.